RNAcentral lists this ribosomal RNA (665 nucleotides) under uncultured Bacilli bacterium. RNAcentral's name for it is "bacterial SSU rRNA". It matches the Rfam family "Bacterial small subunit ribosomal RNA", at positions 81 to 733 of the family's 1533-position model. The record is from RNAcentral. Lineage: Bacteria; Bacillati; Bacillota; Bacilli.
ACUAGAAAAACUUAGCGGCGAACGGGUGAGUAACACGUAAAGAACCUGCCUCAUAGACUGGGACAACUAUUGGAAACGAUAGCUAAUACCGGAUAACAGUAUUUCUCGCAUGAGAGAUAUUUAAAAGUUGGUUAUGCUAACACUAUGAGAUGGCUUUGCGGUGCAUUAGCUAGUUGGUGGGGUAAAGGCCCACCAAGGCGACGAUGCAUAGCCGACCUGAGAGGGUGAUCGGCCACACUGGGACUGAGACACGGCCCAGACUCCUACGGGAGGCAGCAGUAGGGAAUCUUCCGCAAUGGGCGAAAGCCUGACGGAGCAACGCCGCGUGAGUGAAGAAGGAUUUCGGUUCGUAAAGCUCUGUUGUUAGGGAAGAAUGGAUAUGUAGUAACUAUACAUAUAAGAGACGGUACCUAACCAGAAAGCCACGGCUAACUACGUGCCAGCAGCCGCGGUAAUACGUAGGUGGCAAGCGUUGUCCGGAAUUAUUGGGCGUAAAGCGCGCGCAGGUGGUUUAAUAAGUCUGAUGUGAAAGCCCACGGCUCAACCGUGGAGGGUCAUUGGAAACUGUUAAACUUGAGUGCAGGAGAGAAAAGUGGAAUUCCUAGUGUAGCGGUGAAAUGCGUAGAGAUUAGGAGGAACACCAGUGGCGAAGGCGGCUUUUUGGC